CUACGGGAGGCACCAGUGGGGAAUAUUGGACAAUGGGGGAAACCCUGAUCCAGCAAUGCCGCGUGUGUGAAGAAGGCCUGCGGGUUGUAAAGCACUUUCGGUUGGGAGGACUGCUUCUAGCACUAAUAUUGUUGGAAGUUGACGUUACCUUCAGAAGAAGCACCGGCUAACUCCGUGCCAGCAGGCCGCGGUAAUACGGAGGGUGCAAGCGUUAAUCAGAAUUACUGGGCGUAAAGCGCGCGUAGGCGGCUAGAUCAGUCGGGUGUGAAAGCCCCGGGCUUAACCUGGGAACUGCAUCCGAUACUGUCUAGCUUGAGUACAGGAGAGGAGAGUGGAAUUCCACAUGUAGCGGUGAAAUGCGUAGAUAUGUGGAGGAACACCAAUGGCGAAGGCAGCUCUCUGGCCUGAUACUGACGCUGAGGUGCGAAAGCGUGGGGAGCAAACAGGAUUAGAUACCCGUGUAGUC
RNAcentral lists this ribosomal RNA (466 nucleotides) under uncultured bacterium. Its description in RNAcentral is "partial 16S ribosomal RNA". It matches the Rfam family "Bacterial small subunit ribosomal RNA", at positions 339 to 795 of the family's 1533-position model. The record is from RNAcentral.